Gadus macrocephalus (Pacific cod) is the source of this 999-nucleotide long non-coding RNA. RefSeq lists it as uncharacterized. The transcript has 2 exons. The record is from RefSeq and is a predicted model, not a curated record. NCBI's taxonomy places the organism in Eukaryota, Metazoa, Chordata, Actinopteri, Gadiformes, Gadidae.
GUGAUGUUGCUAGGUACGCGUCCUGCGUCCCUGACGCAUUCAAAUCUGAAAGGACGCACUAAACUCACUAUCCAUGCGUCCCGGGGACGCAUCUCAUUUUCCCCAUGAAAAACGAUAAAUUGUGAACAUUAAAAAACUCGUGUUUAAUCACAGUAACUGGCCAAAGAAACCUUCUUGUGAGCAGACCGGACAAGCGCUGUUUCAACCCUCUGCGCAUCUACUCGGCGCAGACGUGAUCCCCUGUACAAAGUAUCGCGACAUGCUAAUUUAGCCGCUACCAAAACAACUAGCUCGUCACCGCUGAUUUCAUUUCAACAAUUACAAAUACGAACUUCAUAGUAAAUAAACCCACGUUUCCACUGCUCGAUGCUGUGCUCAUUCGUGUCGAUUAUGUUGUAACGUUUAGGGGACGUGCUGUAAUGAAAUAAAUGAAACAUAAUCCGGUGGUGGUGAUGAAAACUACAUUGAACGGCAGCCGCCAUAUUGUUAUGCCCAAACGGCGCCUGAGAUCCCGUUUUUCUCGAGAAACAGGCAGAGAAGAGAGAACGCAAAAAUGCCACCAAAGAAAAAGAUGAAACCUAUUGCAGGUCAGCAAACUAUUGCAGCUGCAUUUUCUGUCCCCACUACCUCUGCACUCCUCCCUGACUCUGAUCAGCCUAGAGAGAGUACCUCAACAUUGCCUGUACCUACUUCUGCCUCCCCCUCUACUGAGCCUGAUGAGCCCACUGCAGAAGAAGUGCCUCAACCUUCUACAUGUUCCUCCCAAAAAAAGCGAACUUUUCUGAAGCAGUGGCUCACCACAUACAAAUGGCUGCGCUUUUCAGGUGACAAUUUCAUGUAUUGAGUUUAACACUAUUAAUUUAAUUUAAGAAAUAGAAUAAUAAUAAAAAAGAAACACAUUUUUUAAACUGGGGAGUCGGGACCCAUUGAAUUUCUCAGGGACCCACCCAACUCGCCACCUGUGGGUCCCGGGGACUCACUACAUUGAAAACCUAUCAA